Molecule: ribosomal RNA, 1453 nt
Filed under: Streptococcus salivarius
Lineage: Bacteria; Bacillati; Bacillota; Bacilli; Lactobacillales; Streptococcaceae
Description: bacterial SSU rRNA
Rfam family: Bacterial small subunit ribosomal RNA
Source: RNAcentral
GCAAGGGGCGGGGUGCUAUACAUGCAAGUAGAACGCUGAAGAGAGGAGCUUGCUCUUCUUGGAUGAGUUGCGAACGGGUGAGUAACGCGUAGGUAACCUGCCUUGUAGCGGGGGAUAACUAUUGGAAACGAUAGCUAAUACCGCAUAACAAUGGAUGACCCAUGUCAUUUAUUUGAAAGGGGCAAAUGCUCCACUACAAGAUGGACCUGCGUUGUAUUAGCUAGUAGGUGAGGUAACGGCUCACCUAGGCGACGAUACAUAGCCGACCUGAGAGGGUGAUCGGCCACACUGGGACUGAGACACGGCCCAGACUCCUACGGGAGGCAGCAGUAGGGAAUCUUCGGCAAUGGGGGCAACCCUGACCGAGCAACGCCGCGUGAGUGAAGAAGGUUUUCGGAUCGUAAAGCUCUGUUGUAAGUCAAGAACGAGUGUGAGAGUGGAAAGUUCACACUGUGACGGUAGCUUACCAGAAAGGGACGGCUAACUACGUGCCAGCAGCCGCGGUAAUACGUAGGUCCCGAGCGUUGUCCGGAUUUAUUGGGCGUAAAGCGAGCGCAGGCGGUUUGAUAAGUCUGAAGUUAAAGGCUGUGGCUCAACCAUAGUUCGCUUUGGAAACUGUCAAACUUGAGUGCAGAAGGGGAGAGUGGAAUUCCAUGUGUAGCGGUGAAAUGCGUAGAUAUAUGGAGGAACACCGGUGGCGAAAGCGGCUCUCUGGUCUGUAACUGACGCUGAGGCUCGAAAGCGUGGGGAGCGAACAGGAUUAGAUACCCUGGUAGUCCACGCCGUAAACGAUGAGUGCUAGGUGUUGGAUCCUUUCCGGGAUUCAGUGCCGCAGCUAACGCAUUAAGCACUCCGCCUGGGGAGUACGACCGCAAGGUUGAAACUCAAAGGAAUUGACGGGGGCCCGCACAAGCGGUGGAGCAUGUGGUUUAAUUCGAAGCAACGCGAAGAACCUUACCAGGUCUUGACAUCCCGAUGCUAUUUCUAGAGAUAGAAAGUUACUUCGGUACAUCGGUGACAGGUGGUGCAUGGUUGUCGUCAGCUCGUGUCGUGAGAUGUUGGGUUAAGUCCCGCAACGAGCGCAACCCCUAUUGUUAGUUGCCAUCAUUCAGUUGGGCACUCUAGCGAGACUGCCGGUAAUAAACCGGAGGAAGGUGGGGAUGACGUCAAAUCAUCAUGCCCCUUAUGACCUGGGCUACACACGUGCUACAAUGGUUGGUACAACGAGUUGCGAGUCGGUGACGGCAAGCUAAUCUCUUAAAGCCAAUCUCAGUUCGGAUUGUAGGCUGCAACUCGCCUACAUGAAGUCGGAAUCGCUAGUAAUCGCGGAUCAGCACGCCGCGGUGAAUACGUUCCCGGGCCUUGUACACACCGCCCGUCACACCACGAGAGUUUGUAACACCCGAAGUCGGUGAGGUAACCUUUUGGAGCCAGCCGCCUAAGGUGAAAGAGG